RNAcentral lists this transfer RNA (77 nucleotides) under Novosphingobium colocasiae. RNAcentral's name for it is "tRNA-Phe". The record is from RNAcentral. Lineage: Bacteria; Pseudomonadati; Pseudomonadota; Alphaproteobacteria; Sphingomonadales; Sphingomonadaceae.
CAUGCGCAUGGCCCGGCUGGAGCAGGCGCGCGGCGAUGAAGGCGCGGCGCUGCGCCUGUUCAAGCAGGCGCGCGCGC